RNAcentral lists this ribosomal RNA (301 nucleotides) under uncultured bacterium. Its description in RNAcentral is "partial 16S ribosomal RNA". It matches the Rfam family "Bacterial small subunit ribosomal RNA", at positions 509 to 807 of the family's 1533-position model. The record is from RNAcentral.
CAGCCGCCGCGGUAACACGAAGGGGGCUAGCGUUGCUCGGAAUGACUGGGCGUAAAGGGCGCGUAGGCGGAUUGUUUAGUUAGGCGUGAAAUUCCUGGGCUUAGCCUGGGGACUGCGCUUAAUACAGGCAGUCUAGAGUGAGGAAGAGGGUUGUGGAAUUCCCAGUGUAGAGGUGAAAUUCGUAGAUAUUGGGAAGAACACCGGUGGCGAAGGCGGCAACCUGGUCCUUGACUGACGCUGAGGCGCGAAAGCGUGGGGAGCAAACAGGAUUAGAUACCCCCGUAGUCCCUGUCUCUUAUAC